Fundulus heteroclitus (mummichog) is the source of this 1003-nucleotide long non-coding RNA. RefSeq lists it as uncharacterized. The record is from RefSeq and is a predicted model, not a curated record. NCBI's taxonomy places the organism in Eukaryota, Metazoa, Chordata, Actinopteri, Cyprinodontiformes, Fundulidae. The transcript is spliced from 3 exons.
CAACUAACCCCAUACCUUUAACUUCACCAGUGCCAACUACAACCACCCAACCACCAACUACGACUGCAACUACAAUGAUGGCUAAACCCACUACAACAACCCAACCUCUAAGCAUGGUGGCAACAACACCUAUACUUAAUGCAACAACCCAACCCUUGACAGCUACUACAACACUCAUGGCUACUACAACAACCCAACCCCAAACCACAACUACCCCCACACCUGCAACCACACCAGUGCCAACUACAACCACCCAGUCCCCAACCAUGUCUACAAUGACAGCCACAGCCCAACUCCCAACAACUUCACUUAUUACAAUCUCCACUACAAAUUCAACAUAUGCUUCAAGACCAGGUUUUAUUGUUGCUCUGAAUGGGAAGAUAUCUAUAAGAUAUAAGCCACUGAAAAAUGAGCUUGUAACCAUUGAAAAACAGAUUAAAGAUGAACUGGUCAGACGAGGAUUGCCAUCAACUAUGAGUGUUAGCCUCUUUUGUCCCGUUUCAGAACGAAUGGUCGAUCUACCCUGAGUAGAAAGCUGCUGAGUAGUUCUACCUCAUUUUGUCACUUUCUGUUUCAGAACAGGUGAUAUCAAUCAGGUAAUUAAACGCAGCGUCCUGUCAACCCUGAGUUAGGCGCGAGCCCGAGCAUGAAAUAAUCCCUCAUCAAUGGAACACAGAUAACGCAGUUCACCAUGACAUGAAAUAAGAACCCUGGAAGUUUGCAUUUCCCGCAGGUAGAAAUAGAAAUCUUUAGUAAAGGUAUGGGCUGCACAGUGUCGCAGUGGGUAGCACUGUUGCCUUGCAGCAAGAAGGUCCUAUAUGUUCGACUCCAACCCUGGGUCUUUCUGCAUGGAGUUUGCAUGAUCUGCAUGCAUGGGUUCUCCCCGGGUACUCCGUAACUGUCCAAGUCCAAAAACAUAACUCUUAGGUUAAUUGGCCCCUCUAAAUUAUCCUUAGGUGUGAGGCUACGCGUGAAUAGUUGUUUGUCCUGUUGCCCUACGAUA